AUUGAACGCUGGCGGCGUGCUUAACACAUGCAAGUCGAUCGGUAACAGGUGUAGCAAUACAUGCUGACGAGAGGCGGACGGGUGAGGAAUAUUUGGGAAUCUGCCCAUCAGCGGGGGACAACCCGGGGAAACUCGGGCUAAUACCGCAUACGCUCUACGGAGGAAAGCCGGGGACCGCAAGGCCUGGCACUGAUGGAGGAGCCCAAAACGGAAUAGCUAGUUGGCGGGGUAACGGCCCACCAAGGCGACGAUCCGUAGCUGGUCUGAGAGGACGAUCAGCCACACCGGAACUGAGACACGGUCCGGACUCCUACGGGAGGCAGCAGUGGGGAAUAUUGGACAAUGGGGGAAACCCUGAUCCAGCGACGCCGCGUGGGUGAAGAAGGCCUGCGGGUUGUAAAGCCCUUUCGGUAGGGAAGAAAUCUCUUGUUCUAACAAAACAAGGGUUUGACUUAACCUACAUAAGAAGCACCGGCUAACUCUGUGCCAGCCGCCGCAGUAACAC
Molecule: ribosomal RNA, 505 nt
Filed under: uncultured bacterium
Lineage: Bacteria
Description: bacterial SSU rRNA
Rfam family: Bacterial small subunit ribosomal RNA
Source: RNAcentral